GGGUUAAGACACCGCCUUUUCACGGCGGUAACACGGGUUCGAAUCCCGUACGGACUA
RNAcentral lists this transfer RNA (57 nucleotides) under Streptococcus pneumoniae GA58771. RNAcentral describes it as "partial tRNA-Glu". It matches the Rfam family "tRNA", at positions 15 to 71 of the family's 71-position model. From Rfam's summary of the family: Transfer RNA (tRNA) molecules are approximately 80 nucleotides in length. Their secondary structure includes four short double-helical elements and three loops (D, anti-codon, and T loops). Lineage: Bacteria; Bacillati; Bacillota; Bacilli; Lactobacillales; Streptococcaceae. The record is from RNAcentral.